CUCUUACUUCCUAUUGUUAUCCCUGGGAAUGGGAGGCUUGUGGGCUCACCCACACUCGCACUAGCAAGCACAAUGAAAAGGUCCUGGUACAGCCACACAGAAAUAGCAUCCCUCCCAAUUCCAGCACUGGUCAGGACCUGAUGGGCCCCUAAGAGCAUCUUACAUGCAGUGUGAUUUAUGUUAUAGGCAAAAGGUGAAUGGCCAGAAAACUUAGAUUGUAUAUCAGAGCAGUGGUGAAGCUCACAAAAGUGCCCAUUCAUCCUAAAAGAAAAGCACAAACCUUGUGACCAGCUGUGAAUAAGUGAUCUUUUCCAUCCUCUGAUGCAAGUCUGUUGGGACUCGAAUGCUUUAGCUGCUGUUGAAUUUAUUAACAGACUCAACCCAGCAACAAAGAACUCAACCAGAAAAAGUUGCAGAAAAAAACAACAAAAUGUAUUAUGCAACAAAACUGCAACAAUUACGAAUCUGAAAAUACACCAUCAAAACCUGAAGAAGUCAAUAGCAGAUGUCCCAUUUACAACUGGUUUAUAUGUGACAAUAUGAAAAAGUCACCAUCAUCAUGCAAAAGUUGCAGUGUUUGUGACUUUUCCAAGACUUUAUACAUUUGUGCUUUUUCAGUCCAGAUCUUUUAAUAAAUGAUUGCCAUUCGUAGAAAUUAGUUUUUUAGUGGUUUGAAACAAAUAUAAGGGCGAAGACACACGGGCCAACUAAUCCACGCCGCAGAAAACCGCGCAACCAACUUUUACAAAAUAUAACUCCAUAAUUCUAAUUACAGAUGAGUCCAUGUUUUUGCAUGCCAACCAAUACCUGACAACUAGUUGAGCCAUGAUACAUAACUCUAAGGGGCACAUUUACUAAUCCACGAAUCCGAAUCACGAAUGGGAAAAAAUC
Long non-coding RNA from Xenopus tropicalis (tropical clawed frog), 891 nucleotides. RefSeq lists it as uncharacterized. The transcript has 5 exons. Lineage: Eukaryota; Metazoa; Chordata; Amphibia; Anura; Pipidae. The record is from RefSeq and is a predicted model, not a curated record.